RNAcentral lists this ribosomal RNA (453 nucleotides) under uncultured marine bacterium. RNAcentral describes it as "bacterial SSU rRNA". It matches the Rfam family "Bacterial small subunit ribosomal RNA", at positions 380 to 825 of the family's 1533-position model. The record is from RNAcentral.
ACCCUGAUCAGCCAUGCCGCGUGCGGGAGAAGGCCUUCGGGUUGUAAACCGCUUUUGUUCGGGAAGAAAUCCUCUGGGCUAAUACCCUGGGGGGAUGACGGUACCGAGAAGAAUAAGCACCGGCUAACUACGUGCCAGCAGCCGCGGUAAUACGUAGGGUGCAGAGCGUUAAUCGGAAUUACUGGGCGUAAAGCGUGCGCAGGCGGUUGUGCAAGACCGAUGUGAAAUCCCCGGGCUUAACCUGGGAACUGCAUUUGAGACUGCACGGCUAGAGUGCGGCAGAGGGGAGUGGAAUUCCGGGUGUAGCAGUGAAAUGCGUAGAUAUGCGGAGGAACACCGAUGGCGAAGGCAGCUCCCUGGGCCUGCACUGACGCUCAUGCACGAAAGCGUGGGGAGCAAACAGGAUUAGAUACCCUGGUAGUCCACGCCCUAAACGAUGUCAACUGGUUGUUG